Molecule: ribosomal RNA, 370 nt
Filed under: uncultured bacterium
Lineage: Bacteria
Description: partial 16S ribosomal RNA
Rfam family: Bacterial small subunit ribosomal RNA
Source: RNAcentral
CCUACGGGAGGCAGCAGUGGGGAAUAUUGGGCAAUGGGCGCAAGCCUUACCCAGCAAUACCGCGUGAGUGAAGAAGGUCCUCGGAUUGUAAAACUCUUUGAUCAGGGACGAACAGAUGACGGUACCUGAAGAACAAGCUCCGGCUAACUACGUGCCAGCAGCCGCGGUAAAACGUAGGGGGCGAGCAUUGUCCCGAAUGACUGGGCGUAACGGGUGCGUAGGCGGCAUAAUAAGUGAGAAGUGAAAUACCCAGAGCUUAACCCGGGUGCUGCAUCUAAGACUGUUGAGCUUGAGUGCGGGAGAGGUUAAUGGAAUGCCUGGUGUAGCGGUGGAAUGCGUAGAUAUUAGGAAGAACACCAGAGGCGAAGGC